This is a microRNA precursor of Chlorocebus sabaeus (green monkey), 113 nucleotides long. NCBI's taxonomy places the organism in Eukaryota, Metazoa, Chordata, Mammalia, Primates, Cercopithecidae. The record is from Ensembl.
GCCCGCGCUCAGCCGUGCCCUAGCAGCGGGAACAGUUCUGCAGUGAGUGAUCAGUAAUCUGGAGUAUUGUUUCCGCUGCCAGGGUAAGUCUGGGACUGCCGUUCGGGCCUACC